This 618-nucleotide long non-coding RNA is filed under the name Mytilus galloprovincialis (Mediterranean mussel). The record is from RNAcentral. Lineage: Eukaryota; Metazoa; Mollusca; Bivalvia; Mytilida; Mytilidae.
CCCAAGUACACUGUGUCAAUGUCUGUGAUAAUAUUUGAUUCAGCAUGAAACCCAUUUAUCCCAAAUGGGAGUGCUCCGAUAUAAAUAGAAAACAGAAGAAAAUACCUGUACAGAACAAAACAUUGGUUUCCUUCCCCCUUACUUAGAUUCCCUAUCAAAAUAUGUUCGUUGUUAGAAAUAAACUUCAAAGAACUUCGGAAAGAAAUGCCUUCAACUGCAAUAUGUUGGCGAUACAAAACUAUCCAUACCCCCUGCAUGUUUAUGCACCUGUCCUGAUUGAUUCAGGGGCCUGUCGUUCAGCAGUUAAAUAUCGUUCGUUGAUGUUCAUAAAUAUUAUUUGGUAUUUUCCCGUUUGUAUAUAUAUAAAUUAGAUCGUUGGUUUUCCUGUUCGAAUUGUGUACACUUAUAAUUUUGGGGUCCCUUAUAGCUUGCUGUUUGGUCUGGGUCAAAGCUCUGCCAUACGUACUAUGACCUGUAUUUGCUAUUAUCCCUCAGAAGGGCACAUAUGGGGUCAUUUUACUGUUGUAAAAAAGAAACUUGAAGAAAUACCAAGGAUUUGCAUAGUGUUGCUAAACAAAUCCUUUGAAGAACAAUUAACUAAAAGAGAGGAGAAAUACA